UAACGACUCUCGGCAACGGAUAUCUCGGCUCUCGCAUCGAUGAAGAACGUAGCGAACUGCGAUACUUGGUGUGAAUUGCAGAAUCCCGUGAACCAUCGAGUCUUUGAACGCAAGUUGCGCCCGAGCCAUUUGGACGANGGCACGUUUGCCUGGGUGUCA
RNAcentral lists this ribosomal RNA (159 nucleotides) under Myrcia tomentosa. RNAcentral describes it as "5.8S ribosomal RNA". It matches the Rfam family "5.8S ribosomal RNA". Rfam says of the family: 5.8S ribosomal RNA (5.8S rRNA) is a component of the large subunit of the eukaryotic ribosome. It is transcribed by RNA polymerase I as part of the 45S precursor that also contains 18S and 28S rRNA. The record is from RNAcentral. Lineage: Eukaryota; Viridiplantae; Streptophyta; Magnoliopsida; Myrtales; Myrtaceae.